AAAUAUUUCAAUGAACAGUGACAGAAAUUUGGUAAGUAAGUGGAUUUGGAUGAAAAUAUGUGACGUAGGUGCUGGAGAGAUGGCUCAUCGGUUAGGAGCACUGAUGCUCUUCCAGAGGUCUUGAGUUCAAUUCCCAGCAACCACAUGGUGGCUUAUGACCAUCUAUAAUGUGAUAUGAUGCUCUCUUCUGCCAUGCAAAUGUACAUGCAAAUAGAACACUCAUACACAUAAAAUAAAUCAUUUUUAAGAAAAAGAAAAUAUGUGUUGUAAUGAAAUACCUAGGUUUCAGUUAAUCACAAACUCAGAUAAAUGCAACAACUAAAAGGUAAAUCUAAGACAAAAUUCACUAAAUGAGAAAAGGUAGAAAAUUGGGAGAUAGUAAAUAUGUUUUAGGAUAGUUGCUUAAACUGAGGAUCAAAUAGUGUUUUUACUCCUUCCUUUCUUGAAAGAAGUAUUCUUGACAUUGUUUAACUGAAAGUACCUCUUAAUGAGCUCAGAUUAAAUAAUUACUUUUCCAGACAGAGCCAGCAUACCGUUCCCAGCAAAAAUCAAGAUUUUCUCCUCUUAAAGAAGAUUGGUUGAAAAAUAAAAGACGGUGUGUAGCAGAAGUCAGAAGAAGAGAUUUUGAUGUCCCAAAUCUCAAGUUCAAGAUGGUUGUAAGAUGUCAUGUGUUUGCUUGAAGCUGAAUCUGGAUCCUCUGCAAGAACAGAGGAAGAAUCCAGUAACACCUGGGGUGGUCUUCUGUGACUAGACUGUGCUGAGAAGACCACAGGAGACGGAAGCAGACGGACUCUGGUAUCCACUCAGCCUACCUCAGCUCUCCCAGGACAGGGUCUGGCUCUCAGCAGCCCACAGCACUCCACUGGGUGACCCGAGGCAGGAAGAAUCAACUUGUCUGAACCAAAGACCCUUUCUGCCCAUUCACUUUGGGGCCCUGCUCCUCUGAAUGUUCCAAUUCACUUAUCUUUUCUUAAAGCUCUUGUGUUGUGUCUCCCACAUGAUCCAUUCUCAGUUUUUUGUUUCUUUAUUGAAUUCCAUUUUCAUAUAUUUUAUUUUUUAUUUCAUUCAGAUGUUUGUGUUCUUUUGAAAUUCAUCUAGAAACUAUGUACUCUUAUUUUUAAACAUAUCUAUUAUUCUUUUGGAUUCUUUUUAAUUUCAUUUAAUUCACUGGCAUUUGUCCCAUUUUUGUGGAAUGCAUUGUAAAUGUUGUUUUUAUUUCUUCAGAGUAAGGGGAUGAGAUGAGAGCCAUAUACAAGCUGUAUGAAUACACGGCUUGGGUUAAGCUGGAGCAUUUCUUUGUCUUUUCUAGCCAUCCCUAGGCCAAGGCCUGGAAGCUUCUAACCUCUGUACAAUUUAUUGUUCUGUAAACCUAGACCAUAAAGGCUUCAGCUUCUAGCCUCUGUCUGCUAACUUGGCCUAGAAUGUUUAAUAAGCUCACCCUUUCUGGUUCUGUCUGAACUCUGGCUGGCUGGCUCAACUCAGCUGUUCUGGCUCAACUCCUCUCCAAGAAAACUGAUUCAAAUUGGCUUUUCUCAGCUUCUGAUUGAAUUGCACUGCUUGGAAAAACUGCCUCUGUACUGCACAAACUGAACUGCACUGACUACACGACCUGAAUGAAACUGCAUGAACUGAACUAAACUGAACUGUCCUAUACUCCUAAACUCUAAACUCUACUGUUCUGUCUCCAUGAAUUCUACUGUACUCCUGUACUGUAUUCUUCUUCCUCUGUACUGUACUAUCUCUCAGACUCUGCCUGCUCUUUUUUUUCUUUUCUUUUCUUUUUUUUAAUUAUUUAUUCACUUUAUAUCCCAAUCAUAAUAUCCUCCCUUGUCUCCUCCUUGGCCCACCCUCUCUCACUUUUGCUCUCUAUCCACCUCCUCUGCACCACAGAAAGGGUGAACCCUCCUUCUCUAACCCUAAUCCUAGCCUAUCAAGUUUCAUCAGAACUGCCUUUAUCCUCUUCCUCUGUGGCCUGGUAAGGCUGCCCCACCAGGGGAAAUGAUCAAAGAGCGGGCAACCUAAUCCAUGUCAGAGAUAACCCCUGCUCCCCUUACUAGGGAAUCCACAUGGAGACUGAGAUGCUUCUGGGCUACAUCUAAGCAGUGGGUCUAAGUCCUGUCCAUGUAUGGUCCUUGGUUGGUACAUCAGUUUCUGCAGGGCCCCCUGUGCCCAGAUUUGUUGGCUUUGUUGGUCUCCUAGUGGGGCUCCUGGCCCCUCCUGGCCCUUCUAUCACCCUACUUUUCCAUAAUACUCCCUGCACUCUGCCCAACUAGAAAAGAUCAUCCUUAGUGAGGUAACCCAGAAGCAGAAAGACACUAAUGGUAUAUACUCACUUAUAAUAUGAUAUUAGCCAUGUAAUACAGGAUAACCAUACUAAAAUCCACAGACCUAAAUAAACUAAAUAACAAGGAGGACCCUAGGGAGGAUAAUUAAUUCUUGCUCAGAAGGACAAAUAGAAUAGACACCAGAAGCAGUUGAAGAGAGGGACCCUACCAUAGAUAUCUUCUGAAAGACUCCAUCCACCAGGGGAUGGACGCAUAUGCUGCCUGCUUCUAAGUAGCCUCUCUUUUGUGAGAGUUGAGCGUAUCCUAUAUCUGACUCAUUCUGUCAAAUCUUUCUCCAUUUGUCACAUUUUCUGCCUCCCAAUUAGAUAGCAUUGUUUGAAAUUAAAGGUGUGUACUAAGGGUGUGUUUCAUUCUACCCAGACCAUACUAUAAUCCAGGGUGUCUUUCUGCUUCUGGGAUACCUCACUCAGGAUGAUCUUUUCUAGAUCACACCAUUUGCCUGCAAAUUUCAUGAUUUCCUUGUUUUUAAUUGCUAAGUGGCAUUCCAUUGUGUAAAUGUACAAUUAAUUUCUGUAUCCAUUCCUCCACUGAAGGACAUCUGGGUUGUUUCCAGGAUCUGGUUAUUAUAAAUAAUGAUGCUAUGAAUAUGGUUGAACAUGAAUGUCCUUGUUGUGUACUUGAGCAUCUUUUGGAUAUAAGCCUAGAAGUGGUAUAGCUGGGUCUUGAUAUAGCUCUAUUCCUACUUUUCUGAGAAAGUGCCAGAUUAAUUUCCAAAGUGGUUGUACACGUUUACCUUCCCACAAACAAUGGAGGAUCGUUCCCCUUCUCCACAUCCUCUCCAACAUGUGUUGUCACUUGAGUUUUUAGCCAUUCUAAUGGGUGUAAGGUGAAAUCUCAGGGUCAUUUUGACUUGCAUUUCCCUGCUGACUAAGGAUGUUGAGCAUUUCUUUAAGUGUUUCUCUGCCAUUUUAUAUUCCUCCACAGAGAAUUCUCUGUUUAGCCCUGUACCCCAUUUUUAAAUUGGAUUACAUGAUGUGUUGCUUUUUAACUUCUUUAGUUUUUUAUAUAUCCAUGUUUUAAAUAGAAAAAAUAUGUUGGAAUAAAAAAAAUUAGAAUGUCAGGCAUGGUAGUGCAUGUGUUUAAUCCCAGUACUUGGGAGGCAGAAACAAGAGAAUCUCUGUGAGUCUGAGGCCAGUCUGGCAUACUGAGAGCAUUUCAGGACAGCCAGGGCUACAUAGAGGGUCCCUAUCUCAAAAGCAAAACAACAAUAAAAUAGAUGGACUUUUACGUCUGUAAGACACAGAUGCCAGUUGGUUUCAGGAGUAAACAAUUAGGUGGCCCAAGAAAAGCACCAACGGGGUCCAAUACAGAAUGAAAAGAUUUCAUUCUUCAUACCAGUUUUUUUUUUUUUUUAAGAAGGGAAGUUCAGUACAGCUGUGUGAAUAGGAAGAGUUUUCCUAAUUAAAAGGCACAGGGGACAUCACUGUGAGGAAAGUCUUGACUGCUUUUGAGAAGUGGUGUGACAUGAUAUGGAUUCUAUCUUUAUAUAAUUUUGUCUAAAUCUCAACUGCAAUAAUAAACAUUUAAAAUGAAUGAUUUGCUUCUGAAAUGUAAACAGGAAUGAUGAGUGACAAACCUACUAAAUAUGAAAGUGUUAAUGCACAAAUGAAAUGUUUGGUAUAAACACAGAGCUGUUCUGACAGAAUAUGGAAACAAAGUUAUAAAAUGUGUAUAAG
Molecule: long non-coding RNA, 4021 nt
Organism: Psammomys obesus (fat sand rat)
Lineage: Eukaryota; Metazoa; Chordata; Mammalia; Rodentia; Muridae
Exons: 4
Source: RefSeq, a predicted model, not a curated record